CCUACGGGUGGCAGCAGUGAGGAAUAUUGGUCAAUGGGCGGAAGCCUGAACCAGCCAAGCCGCGUGAAGGAAGAAGGUUCUAUGUGUUGUAAACCUCUUUUGUCCGGGAACAAAGCUGGAUACUAGUCUUCGGCUGAGGGUACCUGAAGAAAAAGCAUCGGCUAACUCCGUGCCAGCAGCCGCGGUAAUACGGAGGAUCCAAGCGUUAUCCGGAUUUAUUGGGUUUAAAGGGUGCGAAGGCGGCCUGUUAAGUCAGCGGUAAAAGGCCGGGGCUAAACCCCGGCGUGCCGUUGAAACUGGCGAGCUGGAGUGGGGGAGAAGUAGGCGGAAUGCACGGUGUAGCGGUGAAAUGCUUAGAGAUCGCACAGAACCCCGAUUGCGAAGGCAGCGUACCGGCUCCACACUGACGCUGAGGCACGAAAGCGUGGGGAGCGAACAGGAUUAGAUACCCUUGUAGUC
Molecule: ribosomal RNA, 459 nt
Filed under: uncultured bacterium
Lineage: Bacteria
Description: partial 16S ribosomal RNA
Rfam family: Bacterial small subunit ribosomal RNA
Source: RNAcentral